UACCGAGGUCCCAAGCGUUGUUCGGAUUCACUGGGCGUAAAGGGUGCGUAGGCGGUCGGGUAAGUCGGAUGUGAAAUCUCACAGCUUAACUGUGAAACUGCAUUGGAUACUAUCCGGCUAGAGGAAUGGAGGGGAGACUGGAAUACUUGGUGUAGCAGUGAAAUGCGUAGAUAUCAAGUGGAACACCAGUGGCGAAGGCGAGUCUCUGGACAUUUCCUGACGCUGAGGCACGAAAGCCAGGGGAGCAAACGGG
RNAcentral lists this ribosomal RNA (253 nucleotides) under uncultured bacterium. RNAcentral describes it as "partial 16S ribosomal RNA". It matches the Rfam family "Bacterial small subunit ribosomal RNA", at positions 524 to 776 of the family's 1533-position model. The record is from RNAcentral.